GGGGAUGUCGCUGGCCUCUCUGGCUCAUUUAGGGGAAGUAAAAGUCGUAACAAGGUAUCUGUUUGGUGAUCCACGGAAGGAUCAUUACCGAGAUUUACAACUCCCAAACCCUUAUGUGAACCGUACCUAUCGUUGCUUCGGCGGGAACGCCCCGGCGCCCUGCGCCCGGAUCCAGGCGCCCGCCGGAGACCCCAAACUCUUGUGUUUUUUUCAGUAUUCUCUGAGUGGCAAACGCAAAAAUAAAUCAAAACUUUUAACAACGGAUCUCUUGGCUCUGGCAUCGAUGAAGAACGCAGCGAAAUGCGAUAAGUAAUGUGAAUUGCAGAAUUCAGUGAAUCAUCGAAUCUUUGAACGCACAUUGCGCCCGUUAGCAUUCUAGCGGGCAUGCCUGUCCGAGCGUCAUUUCAACCCUCAGGGUCCCCGUUCCGGCGGGGAACCUGGUGUUGGGGAUCGGCCCGCCCCGUGCGGCGCCGUCCCCCUAAUUCAUUGGCGGUCUCGCUGCAGCCUCCCCUGCGUAGUAGUUACAACCUCGCAUCGGAGCUCAGCGCGGCCACGCCGUAAAACCCCCGACUUUCUGAACGUUGACCUCGGAUCACGUAGGAAUACCCGCUGAACUUAAGCAUAUCAAUAAGCGGAGGAAAACAUGUCCCCCCCCUUCUAAACCUUAUGCGAGACCUUCCCGUCGUCCAGAAAGUCUCACCUAUCAAUGCUUGACCUCAAAUCAGGUAAGAAUACC
This 736-nucleotide ribosomal RNA is filed under the name uncultured Stachybotrys. RNAcentral's name for it is "eukaryotic LSU rRNA". The stretch from base 249 to 402 matches the Rfam family "5.8S ribosomal RNA". Lineage: Eukaryota; Fungi; Ascomycota. The record is from RNAcentral.